This is a long non-coding RNA of Gasterosteus aculeatus aculeatus (three-spined stickleback), 2470 nucleotides long. The record is from Ensembl. Lineage: Eukaryota; Metazoa; Chordata; Actinopteri; Perciformes; Gasterosteidae.
GAUUUCUUACAUUUAGUUCAUCAUAGGUCAUCAUGUAGUUGGUCAAUACACCACAUGAGCUAUUUAUGUUUCUUUGCAUUGUUUUUUAACAGUAUGGGAGAGGAAGAAUGGGUGGCAUGUAGAUGCCCAAACAGGUGCCCACACACAGCACAUAGAAAGAGGCGUAGCAUUAAGGAGCAAGUGUGGAGGCAAAGAGGUGAUCACAGCGAAUGCUUUGUGUCUGACCAUCUUUGUCUUAUAGAGGGACUCAAUGGCUAAGCAGGAACACAGAGACGGUCCUCUUGGUAGGACACUACAUGAUGUAGCUAACAGGUACAGGGUGUAGGCUACAAUGGAGGCUAAAUAGUGGGAGUGGAUCACAGUUUCAUUUCCAUUGCUGCCCCUGAAAAGGUUCGCUGAGUUUAGAGAUCAGAAUACAGGAAAGCACAUGGUGAUUUUACUGGGAAAUAUCUAGAUGCCGUCCAUGACUUGAUGUUGUGCUGAUGGACCAUGUUUUAAAAAAAGUUAAACCGUUAAAUGUUCAGAGGAAUAAAAAUAAUGAUAAUCUACCUCAGUUUUAUCAUGCACUUUAAGGUAGUUUCAAUGUUUUUGAUAAUAUGCCUCGAUUUUUACAGAUCCUGAGAGUGUUUUUAUUUUUUACAUUUGUAGUCCACAGCAAUAAAUAAAACUAUUUUGGCCGUCACAGUUGAAACACUUGUACUAUGUUUUUUUUCUUCCCAUUAAGUGAGGGACUGUAAUGAAGCCAUUUGUACUGCCUAAACCAAGUGUCCUGAAUUCUGAGUGUCUUUUUUUCAGGGACUGAGUUUCAAUAAAGUGGGUAUUGGGCUGGUGUGGGCAGGUACCGAGCUCCUCCUCACGCUGAUCUAAACCACUGCCUCCUGUGCCUGGUUCUGUCUCUCUUUCCCUGUCAGUCUCCUGAAAUAUAUGUAUGUAACAUGUAGCGUUGGAAAAACCACCAAGAAAUCAUACACAAGAUGCAGGUACCUGCAAUGCCUUACUUAGCUACAUACUUAAAAUGACUGUCUAUGUGCAACACUAAAUUGCAUUCAUUUCACAUUAAUUUCUCACCUGAUCAUCUGCAUGUCCAGAGCUUGUCCCUGUGUGGCCACUGCUUUUAACUUGCCUGUCUCUUUCCCCGUCUCUCUGUGACGCCUGCAUUGUGACCACAUGUCAUUUUAUCAGAAAAACAGCAACUCGUGCUGCCCACUUCGACCGAACGCGGGCCAAACCAUUAACAUGAUAGGGAAGGGUGGCGGUGACGAUCCCACCGGCCGGCGGUACGGUCGAUGUAUGUACAUAGGUAUAUUUUACAUAUUUUCUGCUGUAUAUUGGGGGGGACAGAUUGGUACCUUUUCAAUAUUGGGGGGGACACGACCCCCCCAAAGAAUGCGUGGUUACGCCUAUGGACCAUCACAUGUCCAUCACAUCAGGACUCCUGUCCAUCAAACCACAUGUGCAGAGAACCCAUCCAAACCACGGCGAAGGAGGAGAAGCUGCUGUUGGAGGACGUCCUCCUCAUAGACAUUCUCAGAUAUCUGCAGCAGCAGAAGCAAACAAGAGACAGCGAGACAGGAGACGACUGCAGGUGAGAGACAAAUAGCCCCAAUACCCCGUCCCCCCCAGAGGACAAAUAUCCAGCAGGUAGAGACCGUUCAAUGGGUCUCCAGCAGACAACGUGGGGACAAUAGAGGACAUGUAUGUUAUAUAUGUGGACAGGAGGACCAUUGGUGCAGAGAGUGUCCCAGGAGUUCUGAAAGGGAAAUGCGACCAAACGCUCCACCACGGCUGUUCUAUACAACGCAGCCCGGCAGAACCAGAGGACGGGUCCACCUCCCCCCCUCAUACAACCCCCAUAACAACUAACUGGUGACACACCGACGCCCACUGCUUCCCAACAGCCCAGAUAAGCAGCCUUAGUCUCCCCAGUUUACGACUCACAUUCCAGGUAGAAGGAGGGAGAAUAGAGAGUACAGACUAUUGAGAGUGUCAGAAAAUAGAUUUACAACCAGUACGAAACAUUGAUUUACUAAUAGAGGGAAACUGUCAGUAACAAUGAGACACGGUUGUGAAAGAUUUAAAUGAGGAAUGAAGGUGAUGAGAAUUGUAGUACAUAGUUUUUUGUAUUAAUGUUUGUAGUUUUUUAGUCUCCUCCUAAACUCAGAGAUGGGCUGUAAAUUGUUGAGUGCUGCUAUUGAGUGUAAAGUGCACGAUACACUUGAUACAGUAUCUGGAUGAUGGAAGCAAACGUCUGAUCAAAGGAACAUUGAUAGCAGCAGUACAUGAAAUAGGGAAACUUGUUAGACGGUCAUCCUGUAAUGGUACAACAAGUAGUACACACUGGAAGCGAAUGGCGUAAACAAACAGAUGGUCGUCCUUGUUUCAGCCCACUCAGCUCUCUUUCCCUUUCUCACUCCGUUGAGGUCGAAAGUCUUUCGGAGACCCUUUUAAAAAUCCUGGAUGGAAUUUGUUC